This 253-nucleotide ribosomal RNA is filed under the name uncultured bacterium. Its description in RNAcentral is "partial 16S ribosomal RNA". It matches the Rfam family "Bacterial small subunit ribosomal RNA", at positions 524 to 776 of the family's 1533-position model. The record is from RNAcentral.
GACAGAGGGUGCAAACGUUGUUCGGAAUUACUGGGCGUAAGGCGCGUGUAGGCGGCCCUGCAAGUCGGGUGUGAAAUCCCACGGCUCAACCGUGGAAGUGCACUCGAAACUGCAGGGCUAGAGUCCUGGAGAGGAAGGUGGAAUGCUUGGUGUAGAGGUGAAAUUCGUAGAUAUCAAGCGGAACACCGGUGGCGAAGGCGGCCUUCUGGACAGUGACUGACGCUGAGACGCGAAAGCGUGGGGAGCAAACAGG